GCGAAAGACCAGCGGUGUUCGACGGUUAUUUCAUGGAACUGAAAAGGGACACUUUUUCAACCGAACACCGCUGAAGCCGUCGACCUCCCCUUCUCAAUCGACAAAAGCAUACGAAUGCCGGCCGUUCGGGAGAUUCAACAACACGAAUGGACUUAACCCAGAUAGCCUUCCCAUGGAGUCAAUCGCAUACCGAAGAGCUGUAAUAGACUUUGACUCCAUGGCGAUUGAACUAUGCGUAUGGGAUCUGAGC
Pelobates cultripes (western spadefoot toad) is the source of this 250-nucleotide non-coding RNA. The record is from the annotation of a GenBank genome assembly. NCBI's taxonomy places the organism in Eukaryota, Metazoa, Chordata, Amphibia, Anura, Pelobatidae.